UUAGAGCUAAAGUAUUAAAGUACAUUUUAUUUACACUAAAAAGGUUUCGUUUGUUGAAUGGCUC
Molecule: transfer RNA, 64 nt
Filed under: Costasiella sp. Cos1
Lineage: Eukaryota; Metazoa; Mollusca; Gastropoda; Costasiellidae
Description: tRNA-Val
Source: RNAcentral